AUACGAAGGGGGCAAGCGUUGUUCGGAAUAACUGGGCGUAAAGCGCACGUAGGCGGAAUGUUAAGUUAGAGGUGAAAUCCCAGGGCUCAACCCUGGAACUGCCUUUAAUACUGGCAAUCUAGAGACCGAGAGAGGUGAGUGGAAUUCCGAGUGUAGAGGUGAAAUUCGUAGAUAUUCGGAGGAACACCAGUGGCGAAGGCGGCUCACUGGCUCGGUACUGACGCUGAGGUGCGAAAGCGUGGGGAGCAAACAGGAGUAGAAACCCUAGUAGUCC
RNAcentral lists this ribosomal RNA (274 nucleotides) under uncultured bacterium. RNAcentral describes it as "partial 16S ribosomal RNA". It matches the Rfam family "Bacterial small subunit ribosomal RNA", at positions 523 to 796 of the family's 1533-position model. The record is from RNAcentral.